AACGAACGCUGGCGGCAUGCCUAACACAUGCAAGUCGAACGAGACCUUCGGGUAUAGUGGCGCACGGGUGCGUAACGCGUGGGAACCUGCCCUUAGGUUCGGAAUAACUCCCCGAAAGGGGUGCUAAUACCGGAUAAUGUCUUCGGACCAAAGAUUUAUCGCCUUUGGAUGGGCCCGCGUUGGAUUGGCUAGUUGGUAGGGUAAAAGCCUACCAAGGCGACGAUCCAUAGCUGGUCUGAGAGGAUGAUCAGCCACACUGGGACUGCGACACGGCACAGACUCCUACGGGAGGCAGCAGUGGGGAAUAUUGGACAAUGGGCGAAAGCCUGAUCCAGCAAUGCCGCGUGAGUGAUGAAGGCCUUAGGGUUGUAAAGCUCUUUUACCCGGGAUGAUAAUGACAGUACCGGGAGAAUAAGCUCCGGCUAACUCCGUG
This 433-nucleotide ribosomal RNA is filed under the name uncultured bacterium. RNAcentral describes it as "partial 16S ribosomal RNA". It matches the Rfam family "Bacterial small subunit ribosomal RNA", at positions 29 to 507 of the family's 1533-position model. The record is from RNAcentral.